GAUAAACGCUGGCGGCGUGCCUAAUACAUGCAAGUCGAGCGAACGGACGAGAAGCUUGCUUCUCUGAUGUUAGCGGCGGACGGGUGAGUAACACGUGGAUAACCUACCUAUAAGACUGGGAUAACUUCGGGAAACCGGAGCUAAUACCGGAUAAUAUUUUGAACCGCAUGGUUCAAAAGUGAAAGACGGUCUUGCUGUCACUUAUAGAUGGAUCCGCGCUGCAUUAGCUAGUUGGUAAGGUAACGGCUUACCAAGGCAACGAUGCAUAGCCGACCUGAGAGGGUGAUCGGCCACACUGGAACUGAGACACGGUCCAGACUCCUACGGGAGGCAGCAGUAGGGAAUCUUCCGCAAUGGGCGAAAGCCUGACGGAGCAACGCCGCGUGAGUGAUGAAGGUCUUCGGAUCGUAAAACUCUGUUAUUAGGGAAGAACAUAUGUGUAGGUAACUGUGCACAUCUUGACGGUACCUAAUCAGAAAGCCACGGCUAACUACGUGCCAGCAGCCGCGGUAAUACGUAGGUGGCAAGCGUUAUCCGGAAUUAUUGGGCGUAAAGCGCGCGUAGGCGGUUUUUUAAGUCUGAUGUGAAAGCCCACGGCUCAACCGUGGAGGGUCAUUGGAAACUGGAAAACUUGAGUGCAGAAGAGGAAAGUGGAAUUCCAUGUGUAGCGGUGAAAUGCGCAGAGAUAUGGAGGAACACCAGUGGCGAAGGCGACUUUCUGGUCUGUAACUGACGCUGAUGUGCGAAAGCGUGGGGAUCAAACAGGAUUAGAUACCCUGGUAGUCCACGCCGUAAACGAUGAGUGCUAAGUGUUAGGGGGUUUCCGCCCCUUAGUGCUGCAGCUAACGCAUUAAGCACUCCGCCUGGGGAGUACGACCGCAAGGUUGAAACUCAAAGGAAUUGACGGGGACCCGCACAAGCGGUGGAGCAUGUGGUUUAAUUCGAAGCAACGCGAAGAACCUUACCAAAUCUUGACAUCCUUUGACAACUCUAGAGAUAGAGCCUUCCCCUUCGGGGGACAAAGUGACAGGUGGUGCAUGGUUGUCGUCAGCUCGUGUCGUGAGAUGUUGGGUUAAGUCCCGCAACGAGCGCAACCCUUAAGCUUAGUUGCCAUCAUUAAGUUGGGCACUCUAAGUUGACUGCCGGUGACAAACCGGAGGAAGGUGGGGAUGACGUCAAAUCAUCAUGCCCCUUAUGAUUUGGGCUACACACGUGCUACAAUGGACAAUACAAAGGGCAGCGAAACCGCGAGGUCAAGCAAAUCCCAUAAAGUUGUUCUCAGUUCGGAUUGUAGUCUGCAACUCGACUACAUGAAGCUGGAAUCGCUAGUAAUCGUAGAUCAGCAUGCUACGGUGAAUACGUUCCCGGGUCU
This 1372-nucleotide ribosomal RNA is filed under the name uncultured bacterium. Its description in RNAcentral is "bacterial SSU rRNA". It matches the Rfam family "Bacterial small subunit ribosomal RNA", at positions 28 to 1381 of the family's 1533-position model. The record is from RNAcentral.